GUCAGUGUUCAGACUGUAGAUGAGUGUGCGCGUUUGCUAAAAUAUGAACAAGUACUGUUAACCCAUUCGCUGGUGUGGAAUCUGAAAUUGCCUGCGUGACAAAGCACAAGAUGGCGACGAGUUGGAACGAGGUCACCCUUGAGGAAGGUUACUAGAGAGAGAAGGGUGACGUCAUGCUCACACUGAGACACCUGCCAGGCUCCCAGGGUGUAGGAUGCUGUGUGUGAUGGAGGGGACCGAUGGAACGCGAGACGCCACCUCGGAGUUCAUCGCCACGGGGCCACGGGGCGCACGGAAAAGCCAUGCCC
Molecule: long non-coding RNA, 308 nt
Organism: Penaeus monodon (black tiger shrimp)
Lineage: Eukaryota; Metazoa; Arthropoda; Malacostraca; Decapoda; Penaeidae
Exons: 3
Source: RefSeq, a predicted model, not a curated record